Molecule: long non-coding RNA, 305 nt
Organism: Trichoplusia ni (cabbage looper)
Lineage: Eukaryota; Metazoa; Arthropoda; Insecta; Lepidoptera; Noctuidae
Exons: 2
Source: RefSeq, a predicted model, not a curated record
GCCAUCACCGGCGCCGUCAACCUCGGUCUGCCGCAUGGCGCCGCCCAUGGAGCAUGUGCAGCAAUAACGGUCGAACUAAUCUGUGGAGGAGGAACAGAAAACUUUCUACGUCACUGUCGUUCUUUUAUAUCAAAACUACGUAUGAAGAGUCUUCUCAGGUCUGGAUGUGUCUACUGUUUAGUAACAUUAUUUAAUUACGAUAUUUUAAUGGUCGGAGCCUGUAUCACGCGGCAGUGUGAUAUGAAACUAGAAGAAACUUAUUCAUACAGUUUAAUCGAACACUAAACGUGGAUAAGUGUAGCAAA